RNAcentral lists this long non-coding RNA (425 nucleotides) under Capsicum annuum. RNAcentral's name for it is "long non-coding RNA (CANN_LNC009984)". Lineage: Eukaryota; Viridiplantae; Streptophyta; Magnoliopsida; Solanales; Solanaceae. The record is from RNAcentral.
GGUAGGUGUAGUAUUCUUAUUAUGAUUUUUUGUUGCUUGUAGUAUUACGAUUGUUUACUAGUCUUUGUUUACUCUUUUCCUGUAUGUGGCGUCUCUAUGUUUUGUCUUGUUCUAGGUUUUUUGGUAUGACUUUGAUUACUAUUCCUUGUCGUGAGCUGGGGGUCUAUCAGAAACAGCCUUGCUACUUCCCUGGGAGUAAUGGUAUGGACUGCGUAUAUCUUAUCCUCCCCAGACCUUACUAUGUAGGAAUACACUGGGUUUGUUGUUGUUUGUUGUUUGUAUAAUAUAUCAGGGACUUGAUCAUGGGUAUGUAAGCUCGCAGUCUUCUUGUCUUAACUCGAAUGCAAUGGCAUUAGUUUAUCUUGCCCCAUUGAUCUGAUCAAUCUUCAGUUCCAGAUUAUCUUUAUUCCAGAAUUAGAAACUGA